Small nucleolar RNA from Chelmon rostratus (copperband butterflyfish), 131 nucleotides. RefSeq annotates it as small nucleolar RNA SNORD10. The transcript has a single exon. The record is from RefSeq and is a predicted model, not a curated record. NCBI's taxonomy places the organism in Eukaryota, Metazoa, Chordata, Actinopteri, Chaetodontiformes, Chaetodontidae.
AUGUAAUGAUAAACCCCAUGCCUGUCAGCUGACCCUGGAAAGCCCUGCCUUGUUGCUGCUACUACUAUCUGGAGUCUUCAGCACAGCAGGGGUCCAGAGGCAUUUUCACACAAGUUGGGACUCUGUAAAAC